Nannospalax galili (Upper Galilee mountains blind mole rat) is the source of this 96-nucleotide microRNA precursor. The record is from Ensembl. NCBI's taxonomy places the organism in Eukaryota, Metazoa, Chordata, Mammalia, Rodentia, Spalacidae.
CGCCGCACAGGCCGUCCUCCCCAACAAUAUCCUGGUGCUGAGUGAUGACACAGGCGACUCCAGCAUCAGUGAUUUUGUUGAAGAGGGCAGCUGCCA